ACUGUCUACAUAUCUCAUUAAAUAAACCAACUUUUCAUCGUCGUCCGUUAGGCCUCUAACGUCAAUCUCUAAAUGCCUUACACACAACUACGUCAGGCAGCCAAAUGGGACAAGGUUGUAUCUUUCAAAGUGAAAGAAGGUUUUAUCUUCCUCCAUACAAAUUUAUCAUUAAAUUACAUAAUAAUAAUUUCAAGAUCUAUACAGAUAGAUGAAUAGAUAGAUUC
RNAcentral lists this long non-coding RNA (224 nucleotides) under Elaeis guineensis (African oil palm). Its description in RNAcentral is "long non-coding RNA (EGUI_LNC053075)". The record is from RNAcentral. Lineage: Eukaryota; Viridiplantae; Streptophyta; Magnoliopsida; Arecales; Arecaceae.